RNAcentral lists this ribosomal RNA (253 nucleotides) under uncultured bacterium. RNAcentral describes it as "partial 16S ribosomal RNA". It matches the Rfam family "Bacterial small subunit ribosomal RNA", at positions 524 to 776 of the family's 1533-position model. The record is from RNAcentral.
UACGGGGGGGGCAAGCGUUGUUCGGAAUUACUGGGCGUAAAGGGCUCGUAGGUGGCCAACUAAGUCAGACGUGAAAUCCCUCAGCUUAACUGGGGAACUGCGUCUGAUACUGGAUGGCUUGAGUUUGGGAGAGGGAUGCGGAAUUCCAGGUGUAGCGGUGAAAUGCGUAGAGAUCAGGAGGAACACCCGUGGCGAGGGCGGGUCUCUGGGCCGAUACUGACGCUGAGGAGCGAAAGCGUGGGGAGCGAACAGG